Nothoprocta perdicaria is the source of this 560-nucleotide long non-coding RNA. RefSeq lists it as uncharacterized. The transcript is spliced from 2 exons. NCBI's taxonomy places the organism in Eukaryota, Metazoa, Chordata, Aves, Tinamiformes, Tinamidae. The record is from RefSeq and is a predicted model, not a curated record.
CUAGUUUUUCAUAUCCAAGAUAGAAUAUAUAAUGGGGAGAAAACUGGAUCUUUCUGGCUUGACUGAUGAAGAAGCAGAGCACGUACUUCAGGUUGUUCAGCGAGAUUUCAGCCUCCGUAAGAAGGAAGAAGAAAGACUGAGCCUUACGAGCCUCAGCCCAAAGACGGGUGGUGUGACCAGUAUCUUUGGGAAUGCCUGGUGGUGGAGGACCUCACGGACACCUGGGAGCAAGUUCUUCUGGCCCAGACCAAUGUGCUUGACACUCUUCUACUGCUGAUAACGACUGCUUCUGCUCGCAAAGAAAGGGGAAUGGAGAUAACCCAGUUUCUCUAACUUCAURUUGUUCUAUGUAUUAACUAUGACACCUUCACCGAGGCAAUAAAUGUCACACUCCUUCACACAGACCCAGUUAUGGCACAGGAAUUCCUCUGUGUGUUACUUUGUUCCAGCUCAACUCACAACAGUGGUCCCUUCAGCAUCUGUGCGUGAAUGCUGGGGAGGCUACACAACAAAUGUCUUGAAUAUAAACUUUUGCUCACAGAAAAUUGUUUGUUUGUUGU